Erigeron canadensis is the source of this 392-nucleotide long non-coding RNA. RefSeq lists it as uncharacterized. The transcript is spliced from 3 exons. The record is from RefSeq and is a predicted model, not a curated record. Lineage: Eukaryota; Viridiplantae; Streptophyta; Magnoliopsida; Asterales; Asteraceae.
UACACCACCAGCUACGGGACCCUUUUACGAAGAUGUGGAGGUGAUUCAAGAGACACAACCCGAAGUUAGUGUUUCGUCUCCGCAAAAAGAGAAACGAAAACAUCGGAGGAAACAAACCGAGGAGCCGAAGAAACACUCCUCCCAAGUCAAUUGGUCGGAAGCUGAAAGUUUGGCGUUAUAUCGAGCUUGAGUUGAUGUAUCCGAGGACCCCAAAUGCGCAAAUUAUCAAAAGGCUCGAACUUUUUGGUUGAAGGUUCAAGAAGGAUAUCAUAAAAGCUUGAAUAGAUUGACAUAUCGAGGCAUUGGAUCGUUACAGGGGAAGUGGCGGAAAAUUCGGGUUAACAUCACCAAGUUCAAUGUGUUUGAGGAGAAGUUUGAAGUGGGAGGUUAUA